This 492-nucleotide ribosomal RNA is filed under the name uncultured bacterium. RNAcentral's name for it is "partial 16S ribosomal RNA". It matches the Rfam family "Bacterial small subunit ribosomal RNA", at positions 28 to 507 of the family's 1533-position model. The record is from RNAcentral.
GAUGAACGCUGGCUACAGGCUUAACACAUGCAAGUCGAGGGGAAACGGCAUUGAGUGCUUGCACUGAAUGGACGUCGACCGGCGCACGGGUGAGUAACGCGUAUCCAACCUUCCCGUUACUGCGGGAUAACCUGCCGAAAGGCAGACUAAUACCGCAUGUUCUUCGAUGACGGCAUCAGAUUCGAAGCAAAGAUCCGUCGGUAACGGAGGGGGAUGCGUCUGAUUAGCUAGUUGGCGGGGCGACGGCCCACCAAGGCGACGAUCAGUAGGGGUUCUGAGAGGAAGGUCCCCCACAUUGGAACUGAGACACGGUCCAAACUCCUACGGGAGGCAGCAGUGAGGAAUAUUGGUCAAUGGGCGGAAGCCUGAACCAGCCAAGUAGCGUGCAGGAGGACGGCCCUACGGGUUGUAAACUGCUUUUAUGCGGGGAUAAAGUCAGGGACGCGUCCCUUUUUGCAGGUACCGCAUGAAUAAGGACCGGCUAAUUCCGUG